AAUUAUCUUAGGGAGAUGGUCUUCUAUACAGCAACUUGAAGUCUAUCACAGUUUCACUUGUCCAUUUGGAGAAGUUUGUGUCUAGAGUAUGAAGCCAACCAUGGUUUGGGUGGUCCUGGUUGUGAUGUACUUCUGUGGCAUGUUUCCUGUUCCCUGUGGCACUUCUUGUAUGGCCCAUCCAGCAGGGAUGAAGUUGAUCUUCCGGGUGCUUGUGUUUCCAGGAUUUUAGUAGGAUCCAGUCUCCACAACAAAGAUGAUGCAGAGGAACAUCUGACAGUGUCUAGUUCUCUAAUUUGAGUUCUCUCUGGAUCUUUUGGAUCAUCUCUAGAACAGAGGGAGGUCCCCCAAAGUUAGGCCUAUAUUGUAUAAGCAAGUAACCAGGUAUUUAAUAAGAAGAAUUUCUAGGGAAACAAAAAGAAAACAAAGUUAAUGGUUGGAGCAAAUUAUAAACCAAUUCCUGAACCUAGGGGACAGCCAGUCAAGAAUAUUUCUUUUCUUUCUUUCUUUCUUUUUUUUUUAAAGAUUGGCACCUGCACUAACAUCCAUUGCCAAUCUUUGUUUUUUUCUUCUUCUCCCCCAAACUCCCCAGUACCUAGUUGUAUAUUCUAGUUUUGAGUGCCUCUGGUUGUGAUAUAUGGGAUGCUGCCUCAACAUGACCUGAUGAGUGGUGCCAUGUCUGUACCCAGGAUCCAAACCAGGGAAACCCUGGGCCGACAAAGCAGAACAUUCAAACUUCACCACUUGGCCGUGGGGCUGGCCCCUCAAGAAGAUUUCUAAAUGUCAGGGUCAAAGCAUCUUUUGCAGUUUGAAAUGUCUCUGUUGAUGUCAUCAGAUGCUCAGCAUAAACAACGUAACCAGUCUCCUUUUGUUGGGCAUCUAAAUCAGCUCCAAUCUUCUGUUCUCGUCAACAGCACUGAAUGAAUAUCCUUGUGGAUAAUUCAACACGUCCAAGCCACCGUCAUCUCUGGCCUGGAUUAUUGCAAUAGCCCACGAUGGGUCUCCUGGCUUUGGCUCCAGCUCCCUGGCGUCUGGUCCGUACACAGCAGCCGAGGGAGUGCAUUGGAAUCACCUUCUCCCUCUCCCCGAAACGUCUCCCAUGUGCCCUGUCCACUCCCCUCCAGCUAUGGUGCUGCUUCUUGAAGAGAUGCCUGGUCAAGCUGCGCCCUUUCUCAAAGACCUUUGCCGGCUCCCCAUUGCGUAAGAUUUACGUACAAACUCCCUGGACUGGGCUCAGACUUGCCCGCGAGGCUCCCGAAUGACCUUUCCUUCUCUGCUUUACAUGUGACGGAGGCUCGGGACAAACUGGAUUCCUUAGAACGAUGUUUUUGCGCCUCCAUGCCGUUGCUUAGGCUGACCCCUCUACCUGGAGGGCCCUCCUGCAUCUUUGCUUGCCCCAAGUCAGGCCCGGCGUCAGCAUCACCCGCAGCCGAAGCCUUUCCUGAGUAUGUUCUACGGGCACGCCCCCUCCGUCUUCUGGAACCUUGUGCAUGAUCUUCUAUUCUGUCGCAGCACAGCGCCCACUUUCCUUCAAGCCAAGUGUUACUUCGAAUUUCAGGCCAAACGCGGAGCCACAGAAUAGGCACAUUUCCUGCAGUGGCCACAAGAUGGCAGCACAGACCGCGCUUCGGGACAGACGCGGCCUCUAGUUCCUCCCGCCUUCCCAGAGGCCGCAGCCCUAAGAG
This 1682-nucleotide long non-coding RNA is filed under the name Equus caballus (horse). Its description in RNAcentral is "lncRNA (ENSECAG00000041848.2)". The record is from RNAcentral. Lineage: Eukaryota; Metazoa; Chordata; Mammalia; Perissodactyla; Equidae.